Small nuclear RNA from Otolemur garnettii (small-eared galago), 190 nucleotides. Its record names the gene U2. It matches the Rfam family "U2 spliceosomal RNA". Rfam says of the family: U2 is a small nuclear RNA (snRNA) component of the spliceosome (involved in pre-mRNA splicing). The record is from Ensembl. NCBI's taxonomy places the organism in Eukaryota, Metazoa, Chordata, Mammalia, Primates, Galagidae.
AUUGCUUCUUGGCCUUUUGGCUAAGAUCAAGUGUAGUACCGUUCUUAUCAGUUUAAUAUCUGAUACAUCUUCUAUCUGAGGACAAUCUAUUAAAUGAAUUUUUGGAGCAGGGUGUUGGAAUAGGAGCUUGUUCCAUCCACUCCACACAUCGACCUGGUAUUACAGCACUUCCAGGAACGGUGCACCCCUU